Molecule: ribosomal RNA, 253 nt
Filed under: uncultured bacterium
Lineage: Bacteria
Description: partial 16S ribosomal RNA
Rfam family: Bacterial small subunit ribosomal RNA
Source: RNAcentral
UACGUAGGUGGCGAGCGUUGUCCGGAUUUACUGGGCGUAAAGAGCGCGCAGGCGGUCGUUCAAGUCGCGUGUGAAAGCCCCCGGCUCAACUGGGGAGGGUCACGCGAUACUGAUCGACUCGAAGGCAGGAGAGGGUAGUGGAAUUCCCGGUGUAGCGGUGAAAUGCGCAGAGAUCGGGAGGAACACCCGUAGCGAAGGCGGCACUCUGGGCCGAUACUGACGCUGAGGAGCGAAAGCGUGGGGAGCGAACAGG